AGAGAGGUGGCCGAGUGGCUGAAGGCGCACGCUUGGAAAGCGUGUUUAUGGUAACAUAACGAGGGUUCGAAUCCCUUCCUCUCUG
RNAcentral lists this transfer RNA (85 nucleotides) under Flavobacterium sp. Its description in RNAcentral is "tRNA-Ser". It matches the Rfam family "tRNA". Rfam says of the family: Transfer RNA (tRNA) molecules are approximately 80 nucleotides in length. Their secondary structure includes four short double-helical elements and three loops (D, anti-codon, and T loops). RNAcentral also lists the same sequence under 1 other name. The record is from RNAcentral. Lineage: Bacteria; Pseudomonadati; Bacteroidota; Flavobacteriia; Flavobacteriales; Flavobacteriaceae.